This 49-nucleotide small nucleolar RNA is filed under the name Pyrobaculum aerophilum str. IM2. RNAcentral describes it as "PAEsR112". Lineage: Archaea; Thermoproteati; Thermoproteota; Thermoprotei; Thermoproteales; Thermoproteaceae. The record is from RNAcentral.
GUGACGAGAACUAACCCGGCGGAUUUGUGACGAGGGGGUCAGGGACUGA